Molecule: long non-coding RNA, 311 nt
Organism: Lacerta agilis (Sand lizard)
Lineage: Eukaryota; Metazoa; Chordata; Lepidosauria; Squamata; Lacertidae
Exons: 3
Source: RefSeq, a predicted model, not a curated record
CUGAGGAUGGUAUUUUGUGUUUUUCUUCGUCGGCACACUGAGUUAAUGUGAGUCCCCACAUACAGUCUGAAGUGAUGCAGCCCAGAUGCAGGUUUACUACCAUAGCUGCUGUUUACGAGAACCAGUCCUGUGUCAACUGAAUCGGUAUAUAUCAUCUGAGAGAAAAAGAGCCCCUGAAAGGUAAACAAUAAUCAUUGCCAAGCUGGAGAGAGCAGAAGGGAGCAAGUAGGCCGCAGCCUCUUGAGCAGGAACAGCAGUAGCAGUGAACACAAAAUGAAUGGACGCCUGGGAAAAGAGCACCAAUGAGAAGA